This 793-nucleotide ribosomal RNA is filed under the name uncultured bacterium. RNAcentral describes it as "bacterial SSU rRNA". It matches the Rfam family "Bacterial small subunit ribosomal RNA", at positions 8 to 796 of the family's 1533-position model. The record is from RNAcentral.
AGAGUUUGAUCCUGGCUCAGAUUGAACGCUGGCGGCAUGCCUUACACAUGCAAGUCGAACGGCAGCACGGGCUUCGGUCUGGUGGCGAGUGGCGAACGGGUGAGUAAUGUAUCGGAACGUACCUUUCAGUGGGGGAUAACGUAGCGAAAGUUACGCUAAUACCGCAUAUUCUGUGAGCAGGAAAGCAGGGGAUCGCAAGACCUUGCGCUGAUUGAGCGGCCGAUAUCAGAUUAGCUAGUUGGUGGGGUAAAGGCCUACCAAGGCUACGAUCUGUAGCGGGUCUGAGAGGAUGAUCCGCCACACUGGAACUGAGACACGGUCCAGACUCCUACGGGAGGCAGCAGUGGGGAAUUUUGGACAAUGGGGGCAACCCUGAUCCAGCCAUGCCGCGUGAGUGAAGAAGGCCUUCGGGUUGUAAAGCUCUUUCGGCCGGGAAGAAAUCGCAUAGGUUAAUACCCUGUGUGGAUGACGGUACCGGAAUAAGAAGCACCGGCUAACUACGUGCCAGCAGCCGCGGUAAUACGUAGGGUGCGAGCGUUAAUCGGAAUUACUGGGCGUAAAGCGUGCGCAGGCGGUUUCGUAAGACAGAGGUGAAAUCCCCGGGCUCAACCUGGGAACUGCCUUUGUGACUGCGAAGCUAGAGUACGGCAGAGGGGGGUGGAAUUCCACGUGUAGCAGUGAAAUGCGUAGAGAUGUGGAGGAACACCGAUGGCGAAGGCAGCCCCCUGGGCCGAUACUGACGCUCAUGCACGAAAGCGUGGGUAGCAAACAGGAUUAGAUACCCUGGUAGUCC